GUGGGGAAUUUUGGACAAUGGGCGAAAGCCUGAUCCAGCCAUGCCGCGUGCAGGAUGAAGGCCUUCGGGUUGUAAACUGCUUUUGUACGGAACGAAAAGACUCUGGUUAAUACCUGGGGUCCAUGACGGUACCGUAAGAAUAAGCACCGGCUAACUACGUGCCAGCAGCCGCGGUAAUACGUAGGGUGCAAGCGUUAAUCGGAAUUACUGGGCGUAAAGCGUGCGCAGGCGGUUAUAUAAGACAGAUGUGAAAUCCCCGGGCUCAACCUGGGAACUGCAUAUGUGACUGUAUAGCUAGAGGACUGCAGAGGGGGAUGGAAUUCCGCGUGUAGCAGUGAAAUGCGUAGAUAUGCGGAGGAACACCGAUGGCGAAGGCAAUCCCCUGGGCCUGUACUGACGCUCAUGCACGAAAGCGUGGGGAGCAAACAGGAUUAGAUACCCGGGUAGUCC
This 450-nucleotide ribosomal RNA is filed under the name uncultured bacterium. Its description in RNAcentral is "partial 16S ribosomal RNA". It matches the Rfam family "Bacterial small subunit ribosomal RNA", at positions 354 to 796 of the family's 1533-position model. The record is from RNAcentral.